Molecule: transfer RNA, 72 nt
Filed under: Camelus bactrianus (Bactrian camel)
Lineage: Eukaryota; Metazoa; Chordata; Mammalia; Artiodactyla; Camelidae
Also listed under: 2 other names
Rfam family: tRNA
About the family: Transfer RNA (tRNA) molecules are approximately 80 nucleotides in length. Their secondary structure includes four short double-helical elements and three loops (D, anti-codon, and T loops).
Source: Rfam by way of RNAcentral
GAGUGUGCAGCUCAGUGGCAGAGUGCCUGCCUAGCGCGCAUGAGGUUCUGGGCUCAAUUCCCAGUGUACCUC